GAUUUGAUUAAGGAUCACAUGACAAGCUCCUUCCAUUCCAUGUUAUACUUCACAACACAACAAAGAUGUGGCAGGCCAAAUUAUCCAUGCACCUUCCUUCCCUUUCCUCUCCCCUAAAUCUGAAUCUUUCACACAACUACAAUACAUUCGUAUGUGAUAUUUCCAAGCACAGUAAUUCUCUUGUUUUUUCUAGCCUCAGUUGUUGUUUGUUUCAGUUAAACCCUGCCAUGAUAACAACUCAACGUGCUUUGAUGGUUCUCUUUGUCUUAAUGCUCUUAAAUUUCAUGACAUUUUCCAUAGUUUUGAUCAAUAGUGAAAGUAGUAGUAAUCUUAUAGAUAGGUUUCCUCCGCGGAAGCUGCUAGCUCAUGCCUCCUCCUUCUCUGCAAGUUUAGAUAAGUUGAAAACACCUUAUGAAACCUCUCAGAGAUCUUUAGACACAAGUUUAAGGAAGUCUCCUCCAAGCAAAUCAAAUCCAAUCCAGAACAAGUGACUUCUACUCUAUUGAAUUCCAUUUUUGUUGAAUAUGGUUUAUAUUCACUGUUAAGUAUGCAGACGCUCAAGCGUAAAGUAGCAGAGUGAGUGGAGCUGAAAGCGCGACACUGCGGAGGGCUUGUAUGGUUCAAGGAUAAACUUGUAAUCGUGAUCAUAGUAUUUAAUCACAGGUUGCACUAUGUUACGUUUGGAUGAAACAUGUAGCAUAACCAAAAAUAAUCAAGCAUGAUACUUGGAUUGAAGCUACAGCAGGAAAAUGGUUCCACAGCAGCCAAGUACAAGUAUUUUUGUUGGAUUGAACAAAUGUCAUGUUAUUACCAAUAAGGAGUUGGAUCAACGACCGUCGGAUCGUAAAGGAAAACAAGCAAGAGAGUGCACUGUGUAAGGAACUUCAUCUGUGAGGUUACUGGUUUUGCACCCUACAAAAAGUGUUGAGUUACUGAAGGUUGGAAAGGAUAAGAGAUUGCUGAAGGUUGGAAAGUAUAAGAGGGCACUAAAAGUUGCCAAGAGAAAGCUUGGAACCCGUAAAUGUGCAAAGAAGAAGCGUGAAGAGAUGUCUAUCGUUCUCUGAAAGAUGAGGGCUGGUGGAGCCGGUGAUAGAAGAAAUAGGUCUUGUUCGUUUCAUUCCAUAGUAGCAAAAUGUACUGAUGUUUUAAAAGACAAGUUGUCUAAGUUUUGUUUGGUUCAGUUAUGUAGUGUGGCUUUUACUUCUAGAGAUAUCUUGUUUUGACUAUAUGAUUUAUGGAAAA
Molecule: non-coding RNA, 1242 nt
Organism: Cicer arietinum (chickpea)
Lineage: Eukaryota; Viridiplantae; Streptophyta; Magnoliopsida; Fabales; Fabaceae
Source: RefSeq, a predicted model, not a curated record